AUAUCAAUAAGCGGAGGAAAAGAAACCAACAGGGAUUGCCUCAGUAACGGCGAGUGAAGCGGCAACAGCUCAAAUUUGAAAUCUGGCCUUGUGGUCCGAGUUGUAAUUUGUAGAGGAUGCUUCGAGCGUGGUCUGGUCUAAGUUCCUUGGAACAGGACGUCAUAGAGGGUGAGAAUCCCGUAUGUGACUAGGUGCCUAGGCUCAUGUGAAGCUCCUUCGACGAGUCGAGUUGUUUGGGAAUGCAGCUCAAAAUGGGUGGUGAACUCCAUCUAAAGCUAAAUAUUGGCGAGAGACCGAUAGCGAACAAGUACCGUGAGGGAAAGAUGAAAAGAACUUUGAAAAGAGAGUUAAACAGUGC
RNAcentral lists this ribosomal RNA (358 nucleotides) under uncultured fungus. Its description in RNAcentral is "eukaryotic LSU rRNA". It matches the Rfam family "Eukaryotic large subunit ribosomal RNA", at positions 40 to 398 of the family's 3401-position model. The record is from RNAcentral. Lineage: Eukaryota; Fungi.